Molecule: ribosomal RNA, 253 nt
Filed under: uncultured bacterium
Lineage: Bacteria
Description: partial 16S ribosomal RNA
Rfam family: Bacterial small subunit ribosomal RNA
Source: RNAcentral
UACGUAGGGCGCAAGCGUUGUCCGGAAUUAUUGGGCGUAAAGAGCUCGUAGGCGGCCUGUUACGUCUGCUGUGAAAUCCCGGGGCUUAACCCCGGGCGUGCAGUGGAUACGGGCAGGCUGGAGGCAGGCAGGGGAGAACGGAAUUCCCGGUGUAGCGGUGAAAUGCGCAGAUAUCGGGAGGAACACCGGUGGCGAAGGCGGUUCUCUGGGCAUUAACUGACGCUGAGGAGCGAAAGCAUGGGGAGCGAACAGG